AUGCGUAGGUCAGUUUUCGUCCACAUCGUCGAGGCUUGCGAGCAAAAUUGUCGUUUCUUCACUCGGCGUAGGAAUGUCGCCUGUUUGAUUGGCUUUAGCAUAUCAAAAAAUAUCAGCGGCAAUGAGAGCGAUUGCUUAUGGUGUUCCCGCCGACUACGCGGACGAAUAUCUUCGCAUUGGCGAAGGUACCACUAUCAAAUGUGUCUAUCUCUUUGCGAAGAUAAUGAUCCGGUUUUUUGGCCCGGAGUACCUUCGAGCACCAAACGAAGAAGACACAAAGAAGCUCAUGACAAUGAACGAAGCAAAAGGGGAUGCCUGGGCAUGCUUGGUAGUAUUGAUUGCAUGCAUUGGAGGUGGAGAGCUGCCCAAUGGCUUGGGUAG
Molecule: ribosomal RNA, 381 nt
Filed under: Triticum aestivum (bread wheat)
Lineage: Eukaryota; Viridiplantae; Streptophyta; Magnoliopsida; Poales; Poaceae
Description: partial small subunit ribosomal RNA
Source: RNAcentral